AUGUCACCUCCAGGCCACGGUGCAGAGAAGCACAAAGUCUUCUCUGGGUCUCCACUGGCCGGGCGACAGCCCCUGCGAUGCUCCUGGCAUUGCUCCGCUGCCACCCCGGGACAAAAGGUGAUGUGCUGGCUGCUUCAGGAGCAGGGGUCUGACUGGUGGCCCCCACAGCCUGGUCCGGCGGCCCGUGAGAGCUCUGAGCCAGCCUGGGCGUGUUGGAGCGGGGCUGCGCAUCGAGGUCGAGAGAGGUGGGGACAGCGUCUGCCCCGACACACGGCCAGGACCUCACUCCAGGGGCCCCCCACCAGCUCACGGCCGAGGGACACCCUCAGACCAGGAGCCUGUUUAGGGAAGAUCUUCCCCUUGGCAGAGAGAACAAGACCUCUCCUUGCUCAGCUGAUCCCAAGCCAAGGCGAGAGUCCUUGCUCACUCUUUAAAAAUUCAAGAAAAAGGUCUUUGCACCGGAAACCCAUGGGGUUUUUGCUGUCCCAUGGCCCAGGCAGCCUGGCUCCAGGGGUCAAGGGCAGCCCUUGCACCGCUCCAUCCCACCGCGAGAGGAGAGCGGUGACGGUCGGCAGCGAGACCUGCGGCAGGAUUGCGUCGGGCCUGGGGGGGGAAACCCCCUCGGCCGGGUACAAUGACUGUCUAUUCUGCUGAUCACAAGCCUAAUCCUCUUUGGUUUUUAAUUGGCAUUUGGGCUAAGCUGAUUUAAACCUCUUCACCUUGUUGGGUCCCCCCCCCCCCCCCCCCCUUUUUUUUUUUUUUUUUUUUUUUUUUUUUUUUUUUUGACCAAAUAACAACGCUGCCAUCACCAAGUCCCCGGCACAAUGACAUCUUUGUGCGAGGGCGAGAGGAGAGGAAAGGGGAAGGGAGGGGGAGAAGGGAAAUGUGCUGAACCCACUCGGAAACAAUGCGGAGUUUGUGAUUCAGACUUGACCACUGGCAAAGGACCCGCUUCAGCUGCGCCUUGUUAAUAAACGCACUGUCCCUUCCCAGCCCCUCUCCCCCUGCCCAUCACCUCCGCCUCAGGCCAGCUGCCCACCGGCGCGGGCUCUACCUGCCGUCCCCAUCCCUUGAUGGAUGCAGCAUCCCCGCGCCCUGCGCAGCGGUACCCACAUCCCACCCCAGUCUCACCAGCGAGCUGCCCCCGGGGCGAUGCGCAGCGGCGGGACGGGGACGUCCCGGUGUCCUCUCCACCCCAUCCGUCCCCAAACCGGUGCUGGUGUCCCCACGCCGAAGCCCAGUGCUGGCCGGCAGCCCCGAGCAGCCUGGAUGGAUGCUGGUGCAAAUCUCAAUCUACGUUGUGCUCCAGGCCAGGGUCUGCUGGCAGGAGGAGGAAGAGGAGGAGGAGGAUGGUGCGUGCAGGAUCAGCCAUGGUGAGCGGCUUCUGCUGAGGGUCCCACAAGACAGGUCCUGCUGGCAGCUCCUUCUCGACCAGGCUCUCAUGGCUUUUGGAGGUGUUUUAUUUUUUUUUUUUCAUAUAGCCCCCACUCCUGGGUUCACGUUAUAGGGAGCUGAUCUGAGUUAAAAACAAAAGCAACAGAAACACCUUUAUUACCCUUUUUCCAUUUAAGAGACAAAAAAACCCCAAAGAACCCCAAAAGGAGCCCUUUGUUCCUGAGGGUGGGAAAGACACUUCUCAUGGGGUUUGAGGUUAACAAACCUGCGAUAAGAGAAAUUAAAUAAAGAACAAAAUCCACAGUUGUUCGAGACUUUGGGCCGAGUGGAUGAUGAGGAAGGUGCUGGC
This is a long non-coding RNA of Bubo bubo (Eurasian eagle-owl), 1744 nucleotides long. NCBI's taxonomy places the organism in Eukaryota, Metazoa, Chordata, Aves, Strigiformes, Strigidae. The record is from Ensembl.